UAAUUACUCCCUCCGUCCUGAAUUACUUGUUGCAGAAAUGGAUAAAAAUGGAUGUAUCUAGAACUAAUAUAUGUCUAGAUACAUCCAUUUCUGCGACAAGUAAUUCCGGACGGAGGGAGUACUAU
Non-coding RNA from Triticum urartu, 125 nucleotides. The record is from Rfam. Lineage: Eukaryota; Viridiplantae; Streptophyta; Magnoliopsida; Poales; Poaceae.